RNAcentral lists this non-coding RNA (102 nucleotides) under Foraminifera environmental sample. Lineage: Eukaryota; Foraminifera. The record is from RNAcentral.
AAAUUAAAUUCAAAUUUAAUAAAUCUUCCAAAGGAAGAAGCAAAAAAGAAGAAGAGAUUGGGAUUCGUUUUUCUAACAUUUAUUUCUCAUCUUAUUAUCAAU